Molecule: transfer RNA, 85 nt
Filed under: Spirochaetaceae bacterium
Lineage: Bacteria; Pseudomonadati; Spirochaetota; Spirochaetia; Spirochaetales; Spirochaetaceae
Description: tRNA-Ser
Rfam family: tRNA
About the family: Transfer RNA (tRNA) molecules are approximately 80 nucleotides in length. Their secondary structure includes four short double-helical elements and three loops (D, anti-codon, and T loops).
Source: RNAcentral
GGAAAGAUGCGAGAGCGGUCGAAUCGGGCGGUCUCGAAAACCGUUGACCUGAAUAGUUCCGGGGGUUCGAAUCCCCCUCUUUCCG